UACGUAGGGUGCGAGCGUUGUCCGGAAUUACUGGGCGUAAAGAGCUCGUAGGUGGUUUGUCGCGUUGUUCGUGAAAACUCACAGCUUAACUGUGGGCGUGCGGGCGAUACGGGCAGACUGGAGUACUGCAGGGGAGACUGGAAUUCCUGGUGUAGCGGUGGAAUGCGCAGAUAUCAGGAGGAACACCGGUGGCGAAGGCGGCGACCUGGGUAGAUACUGACGCUGAGGCGCGAAAGCGUGGGGAGCAAACAGG
This 253-nucleotide ribosomal RNA is filed under the name uncultured bacterium. Its description in RNAcentral is "partial 16S ribosomal RNA". It matches the Rfam family "Bacterial small subunit ribosomal RNA", at positions 524 to 776 of the family's 1533-position model. The record is from RNAcentral.